This 468-nucleotide ribosomal RNA is filed under the name uncultured bacterium. Its description in RNAcentral is "partial 16S ribosomal RNA". It matches the Rfam family "Bacterial small subunit ribosomal RNA", at positions 28 to 507 of the family's 1533-position model. The record is from RNAcentral.
GACGAACGCUGGCGGCGUGCUUAACACAUGCAAGUCGAACGGAAAGGCCCUGCUUUUGCGGGGUGCUCGAGUGGCGAACGGGUGAGUAACACGUGAGUAACCUGCCCUUGACUUUGGGAUAACUUCAGGAAACUGGGGCUAAUACCGGAUAGGAGCUCCUGCUGCAUGGUGGGGGUUGGAAAGUUUCGGCGGUUGGGGAUGGACUCGCGGCUUAUCAGCUUGUUGGUGGGGUAGUGGCUUACCAAGGCUUUGACGGGUAGCCGGCCUGAGAGGGCGACCGGCCACAUUGGGACUGAGAUACGGCCCAGACUCCUACGGGAGGCAGCAGUGGGGAAUAUUGCACAAUGGGCGGAAGCCUGAUGCAGCAACGCCGCGUGCGGGAUGACGGCCUUCGGGUUGUAAACCGCUUUCGCCUGUGACGAAGCGUGAGUGACGGUAAUGGGUAAAGAAGCACCAGCUAACUACGUG